This 267-nucleotide long non-coding RNA is filed under the name Gossypium barbadense (sea-island cotton). RNAcentral's name for it is "long non-coding RNA (GBAR_LNC012382)". Lineage: Eukaryota; Viridiplantae; Streptophyta; Magnoliopsida; Malvales; Malvaceae. The record is from RNAcentral.
UUGACUCUCCAACCGUCUUCCAACCUUUACGAGUCUUCGAGCUCUGAAAGACAGAGAAAAAAGUGGGGUAAGCAUUUUCAUGCUUAGUAAGCUCAAAUAACCAGAAAGUAAACUUACCAAGAAAUUAGCAUACAUUCAUAAAGAUAAGGAAACCAACAAGUAUGAAGCGGCUUCCUAUCACAUGCACUCAACCAUUGAGUUAGUCACAUAACAAAGCACCAUGUAAUUCAUCUUGGAUGAGCUCAUCAUUCAACAUUUCAUUUUGUA